AAGGAUCAUUAAGCGCAGGCCGGAGGCUGGCCCCCCACGAUAGGGCCAAACGUCCGUCAGGGGUGGGCAGAUGUGCGCCGGCCGUACCGCCCCAUUCUUGUCUACAUUACUCGGUUGCCUCGGCGGGCCGCGCUCUCCCAGGAGAGCCGUUCGGCGAGCCUCUCUUUAGUGGCUAAACGCUGGACCGCGCCCGCCGGAGGACAGACGCAAAAAAAUUCUUUCAGAAGAGCUGUCAGUCUGAGCGUUAGCAAGCAAAAAUCAGUUAAAACUUUCAACAACGGAUCUCUUGGUUCCGGCAUCGAUGAAGAACGCAGCGAAAUGCGAUAAGUAAUGUGAAUUGCAGAAUUCCGUGAAUCAUCGAAUCUUUGAACGCACAUUGCGCCCCCUGGCAUUCCGGGGGGCAUGCCUGUUCGAGCGUCAUUUCAGCCCCUCAAGCCCGGCUUGUGUGAUGGACGACCGUCCGGCGCCCCCGUCUUUGGGGGUGCGGGACGCGCCCGAAAAGCAGUGGCCAGGCCCCGAUCCGGCUUCCUAGCGAAUGGGCAACAAACCAGCGCCUCCAAAACCGGCCGCCCUGGCCUCAAAUGCUGUUUUAACUUUCGAGU
RNAcentral lists this unclassified non-coding RNA (602 nucleotides) under Trichophyton mentagrophytes. RNAcentral's name for it is "contains 16S-23S intergenic spacer region". The stretch from base 267 to 420 matches the Rfam family "5.8S ribosomal RNA". The record is from RNAcentral. Lineage: Eukaryota; Fungi; Ascomycota; Eurotiomycetes; Onygenales; Arthrodermataceae.